AUUGAACGCUGGCGGCGUGCCUAACACAUGCAAGUCGAGCGGUAACAGGUGUAGCAAUACAUGCUGACGAGCGGCGGACGGGUGAGUAACGCUUGGGAAUCUGCCUGUUAGUGGGGGACAACCCGGGGAAACGUCGGGCUAAUACCGCAUACGCACUACGGUGGAAAGGCCGGGGACCGGCAAGGCCUGGCGCUAACGGAUGAGCCCAACGUCGGAUUAGCUAGUUGGUAGGGUAACGGCCGUACCAAGGCGACGAUCCGUAACUGGUCUGAGAGGACGACCAGUCACACCGGAACU
Molecule: ribosomal RNA, 297 nt
Filed under: uncultured bacterium
Lineage: Bacteria
Description: partial 16S ribosomal RNA
Rfam family: Bacterial small subunit ribosomal RNA
Source: RNAcentral